AGUGAACGCUGGCGGUAGGCCUAACACAUGCAAGUCGAACGGCAGCACAGUAAGAGCUUGCUCUUACGGGUGGCGAGUGGCGGACGGGUGAGGAAUACAUCGGAAUCUACUUUUUCGUGGGGGAUAACGUAGGGAAACUUACGCUAAUACCGCAUACGACCUACGGGUGAAAGCAGGGGAUCUUCGGACCUUGCGCGAUUGGAUGAGCCGAUGUUGGAUUAGCUAGUUGGCGGGGUAAAGGCCCACCAAGGCGACGAUCCGUAGCUGGUCUGAGAGGAUGGUCAGCCACACUGGAACUGAGACACGGUCCAGGCUCCUACGGGAGGCAGCAGUGGGGAAUAGUGGACAAUGGGCGCAAGCCGGAUCCAGCCAUACCGCGUGGGUGAAGAAGGCCUUCGGGUUGUAAAGCCCUUUUGUUGGGAAAGAAAAGCAGCAGGUUAAUACCCCGCUGUUCUGACGGUACCCAAAGAAUAAGCACCGGCUAACUUCGUG
RNAcentral lists this ribosomal RNA (492 nucleotides) under uncultured bacterium. RNAcentral's name for it is "partial 16S ribosomal RNA". It matches the Rfam family "Bacterial small subunit ribosomal RNA", at positions 29 to 507 of the family's 1533-position model. The record is from RNAcentral.